RNAcentral lists this ribosomal RNA (39 nucleotides) under Microstomum lineare. RNAcentral's name for it is "partial 28S ribosomal RNA". RNAcentral also lists the same sequence under 2 other names. Lineage: Eukaryota; Metazoa; Platyhelminthes; Dolichomicrostomida; Microstomidae. The record is from RNAcentral.
CCCGACCUCAGAUAAGUCAUGAUUACCCGCUGAAUUUAA